UAGCAUAAUCACUUGUGUUUUAAUUGAAUGCUGGCAUGAAAGAUUUAACCCUAAGCUUCUUUUUUAAUGAAAAGAGUAUAAUUUGCGGUUUAAGUAAAAAUUCUUAGAUAAAUCAGAGGGACGAUAAGACCCUAAAAGCUUAAGCUUUAUUUAGUUUUUUUAGUUCUAUUAGGUUAAGGUUAAUAUGUAAGGAUUUACUGGGGAAGUGGCAUUAAAUAAAUUGAUGUUUUAGUUUACUUUAAGGUUUAAAGAGCCUUAAAAUCAGGAUUAGUUGAAAAAGUUACUUUAGGGAUAACAGCAUAAUAGGUUCAGAGAGAU
This 318-nucleotide ribosomal RNA is filed under the name Crangonyx islandicus. RNAcentral's name for it is "partial large subunit ribosomal RNA". The record is from RNAcentral. Lineage: Eukaryota; Metazoa; Arthropoda; Malacostraca; Amphipoda; Crangonyctidae.